UACGUAGGGUGCAAGCGUUAAUCGGAAUUACUGGGCGUAAAGCGUGCGCAGGCGGUUGUGCAAGACAGAUGUGAAAUCCCCGGGCUCAACCUGGGAACUGCAUUUGUGACUGCACAGCUUGAGUGCGGCAGAGGGGGAUGGAAUUCCGCGUGUAGCAGUGAAAUGCGUAGAUAUGCGGAGGAACACCGAUGGCGAAGGCAAUCCCCUGGGCCUGCACUGACGCUCAUGCACGAAAGCGUGGGAGCAAACAGG
This 252-nucleotide ribosomal RNA is filed under the name uncultured bacterium. RNAcentral's name for it is "partial 16S ribosomal RNA". It matches the Rfam family "Bacterial small subunit ribosomal RNA", at positions 524 to 776 of the family's 1533-position model. The record is from RNAcentral.